Molecule: long non-coding RNA, 742 nt
Organism: Suricata suricatta (meerkat)
Lineage: Eukaryota; Metazoa; Chordata; Mammalia; Carnivora; Herpestidae
Exons: 2
Source: RefSeq, a predicted model, not a curated record
UUCUUCUGUGCAACCACCUCUUCUGAUUUGGGAAUGAUCUGCUCAUUUUGAGUAAGCAUCAUGUUAAAGUGGAAGGAGAACUGGUGUACGGGUUUACCUGACCUUGAACUCUUCAAGCUCGGUUGCCUUCUUCACCCAGAUAUGCUGAAUGACCAGAAAAUCUGCAUCUAAACCCUUACGGAAAUGGGAGUCAGAAGUCCAACUGGAGAAUAGACCUCUCCUCUCAUAGAAGUCCUUCCACAUGCCUGGACAAGAUGCAGAGUGCAGGGCCUUGGAACCAGCAGAGAAAAAAGAAAAAUUAGGGCCUCCCUUGGUCAAGGAAUCAGAUUUUCCUCACUGAACCAAUGGCUGCUGUCCCUACUGUCUGCUAUUAGCAUAUCCGAUUAUUAUGUCAGGUGUUUACUCUUCUGAUCCCACGGUUUAUGCACCAGUAAAGAUGUCUUCAGUGGCCAGAAAGAGAGAAAUUCUAUUCAGUUGGCUUAGACAAUAAGGAAAAUGUCUUAUCUCCCAGAACAAAGAGUCCAGAGGAAGGGUAGCUUCAGCAGAGAUUAAUCCUUCAGCUCAACAUCACCAUCAAGGACUUGGCUAUUUCCUCUUUUCCUUCCCCUCUGCCAUUCUCAGCGUAUUACCUUGUCCUUGGCUCGCUCUCCUCAUGGUCACAAGAUGGCUGCCACCACCCCAGUCAUCACAUUGUCACACAACAAUGUCCACAACAGCAAAAUAAAACAAACUCAGGAAACGC